RNAcentral lists this ribosomal RNA (425 nucleotides) under uncultured bacterium. RNAcentral's name for it is "partial 16S ribosomal RNA". It matches the Rfam family "Bacterial small subunit ribosomal RNA", at positions 354 to 796 of the family's 1533-position model. The record is from RNAcentral.
GUAGGGAAUCUUGCGCAAUGGGCGAAAGCCUGACGCAGCCAUGCCGCGUGAAUGAUGAAGGUCUUAGGAUUGUAAAAUUCUUUCACCGGGGACGAUAAUGACGGUACCCGGAGAAGAAGCCCCGGCUAACUUCGUGCCAGCAGCCGCGGUAAUACGAAGGGGGCUAGCGUUGCUCGGAAUUACUGGGCGUAAAGGGAGCGUAGGCGGAUAGUUUAGUCAGAGGUGAAAGCCCAGGGCUCAACCUUGGAAUUGCCUGUGAUACUGGCUAUCUUGAGUAUGGAAGAGGUAUGUGGAACUCCGAGUGUAGAGGUGAAAUUCGUAGAUAUUCGGAAGAACACCAGUGGCGAAGGCGACAUACUGGUCCAUUACUGACGCUGAGGCUCGAAAGCGUGGGGAGCAAACAGGAUUAGAUACCCGGGUAGUCC